This 926-nucleotide ribosomal RNA is filed under the name uncultured Bacteroidota bacterium. RNAcentral describes it as "bacterial SSU rRNA". It matches the Rfam family "Bacterial small subunit ribosomal RNA", at positions 1 to 917 of the family's 1533-position model. The record is from RNAcentral. Lineage: Bacteria; Pseudomonadati; Bacteroidota.
UGGAUCCAGACUUUGAUUAUGGCUCAGGAUGAACGCUAGCUACAGGCUUAACACAUGCAAGUCGAGGGGAAACGAUAUUGGAAGCAUGCUUCCGAUAGGCGUCGACCGGCGCACGGGUGAGUAACGCGUAUCCAACCUGCCCACCACUUGGGGAUAACCUUGCGAAAGUAAGACUAAUACCCAAUGAUAUCUCUAGAAGGCAUCUGAAAGAGAUUAAAGAUUUAUCGGUGAUGGAUGGGGAUGCGUCUGAUUAGCUUGUUGGCGGGGUAACGGCCCACCAAGGCAACGAUCAGUAGGGGUUCUGAGAGGAAGGUCCCCCGCAUUGGAACUGAGACACGGUCCAAACUCCUACGGGAGGCAGCAGUGAGGAAUAUUGGUCAAUGGACGAGAGUCUGAACCAGCCAAGUAGCGUGCAGGAUGACGGCCCUAUGGGUUGUAAACUGCUUUUAUAAGGGAAUAAAGUGAGUCUCGUGAGACUUUUUGCAUGUACCUUAUGAAUAAGGACCGGCUAAUUCCGUGCCAGCAGCCGCGGUAAUACGGAAGGUCCGGGCGUUAUCCGGAUUUAUUGGGUUUAAAGGGAGCGUAGGCCGGAGAUUAAGCGUGUUGUGAAAUGUAGACGCUCAACGUCUGCACUGCAGCGCGAACUGGUUUCCUUGAGUACGCACAAAGUGGGCGGAAUUCGUGGUGUAGCGGUGAAAUGCUUAGAUAUCACGAAGAACUCCGAUUGCGAAGGCAGCUCACUGGAGCGCAACUGACGCUGAAGCUCGGAAGUGCGGGUAUCGAACAGGAUUAGAUACCCUGGUAGUCCGCACGGUAAACGAUGGAUGCCCGCUGUUGGUCUGAAUAGGUCAGCGGCCAAGCGAAAGCAUUAAGCAUCCCACCUGGGGAGUACGCCGGCAACGGUGCAACUCAAAUGAAUUGACGGA